RNAcentral lists this long non-coding RNA (268 nucleotides) under Mytilus galloprovincialis (Mediterranean mussel). The record is from RNAcentral. Lineage: Eukaryota; Metazoa; Mollusca; Bivalvia; Mytilida; Mytilidae.
UAGAGUGGGGCGCUCAUAUUCGCCGUGGACACAAUUUCGCCGUUAUAUGAUUUUGAGGUGUAAAAACUUCAAAGGAUGGCUGAAAUGGCAGAAAUAUGCCGAUAAAUUGUAUUUUUAUAACAAAUAUGAUUAUUUUUGAAAAUGAGACCAAAUUUCGGCACUUACCGCAAAGGACAGAAAAACGAAUUAUGAUUUUCAGCCAAUUUCCUGAACGAAAAAAAAAAGAUUUCAAAGAAGUAUUUCUUAGUAAUUCUUUGACUGAUUGCCC